AGUGAACGCUGGCGGUAGGCCUAACACAUGCAAGUCGAACGGCAGCACAGUAAUAUCUUUCUCUUACUGUUUGCGAGUGGCGUACGUGUCACUAAUACAUCGGAAUCUUCUUUUUCUUGUGUGAUUACGUAGGUAAACUUACGCUAAUACCUCAUACGUCCUACUUGUUAAAUCAGUGGUUCUUCGUACCUUUCGCGUUUUUAUUAGCCGAUGUCGGAUUAGCUAGUUGGCUGGGUAAAGGCCCACCAAGGCGACGAUCCGUAGCUGGUCUGAGAGGAUGAUAAGCAAAGCUGGAAGUGAGAAACGGUCCAGACUCCUACGGGAGGAAGCAGUGGGGAAUAUUGGACAAUGGGCGAAAGCAUGAUCGAGCAAUACCGCGUGGGUGAAGAAGGACUUCGGGUUGUAAAGACAUUUUGUUGGGAAAGAAAAGAAGCAGGUUAAUACCCAGAUGUUAUGACGGUAACGAAAGAAUAAGCAACGGCUAACUACGUG
RNAcentral lists this ribosomal RNA (492 nucleotides) under uncultured bacterium. Its description in RNAcentral is "partial 16S ribosomal RNA". It matches the Rfam family "Bacterial small subunit ribosomal RNA", at positions 29 to 507 of the family's 1533-position model. The record is from RNAcentral.